AUACAGAGGGUGCAAGCGUUAAUCGGAAUUACUGGGCGUAAAGCGCGCGUAGGCGGUUUAAUCAGUCGGAUGUGAAAGCCCCGGGCUCAACCUGGGAACUGCAUUCGAUACUGUUAAGCUAGAGUAUGGUAGAGGGAAGUGGAAUUCCAGGUGUAGCGGUGAAAUGCGUAGAUAUCUGGAGGAACAUCAGUGGCGAAGGCGACUUCCUGGACCAAUACUGCCGCUGAGGUGCGAAAGCGUGGGGAGCAAACAGGAUUAGAAACCCUAGUAGUCC
RNAcentral lists this ribosomal RNA (274 nucleotides) under uncultured bacterium. RNAcentral describes it as "partial 16S ribosomal RNA". It matches the Rfam family "Bacterial small subunit ribosomal RNA", at positions 523 to 796 of the family's 1533-position model. The record is from RNAcentral.